ACUCCUACGGGAGGCAGCAGUGAGGAAUAUUGGACAAUGGAGGCAACUCUGAUCCAGCCAUGCCGCGUGCAGGAAGACUGCCCUAUGGGUUGUAAACUGCUUUUAUACAGGAAGAAACCGCUCUACGUGUAGAGCUCUGACGGUACUGUAAGAAUAAGGAUCGGCUAACUCCGUGCCAGCAGCCGCGGUAAUACGGAGGAUCCAAGCGUUAUCCGGAAUCAUUGGGUUUAAAGGGUCCGUAGGUGGAUAAUUAAGUCAGAGGUGAAAGUCUGCAGCUCAACUGUAGAAUUGCCUUUGAUACUGGUUAUCUUGAGUUAUUAUGAAGUAGUUAGAAUAUGUAGUGUAGCGGUGAAAUGCAUAGAUAUUACAUAGAAUACCAAUUGCGAAGGCAGAUUACUAAUAAUAUACUGACACUGAUGGACGAAAGCGUGGGAGCGAACAGGAUUAGAUA
Molecule: ribosomal RNA, 451 nt
Filed under: uncultured bacterium
Lineage: Bacteria
Description: bacterial SSU rRNA
Rfam family: Bacterial small subunit ribosomal RNA
Source: RNAcentral